CCUACGGGCGGCUGCAGUGGGGAAUAUUGGACAAUGGGGGCAACCCUGAUCCAGCCAUGCCGCGUGUGUGAAGAAGGCCCUCGGGUUGUAAAGCACUUUCAGUGAGGAAGAACGCCUGGUGGUUAAUACCCAUCAGGAAAGACAUCACUCACAGAAGAAGCACCGGCUAACUCCGUGCCAGCAGCCGCGGUAAUACGGAGGGUGCGAGCGUUAAUCGGAAUUACUGGGCGUAAAGCGCGCGUAGGUGGCUUGAUAAGCCGGUUGUGAAAGCCCCGGGCUCAACCUGGGAACGGCAUCCGGAACUGUCAAGCUAGAGUGCAGGAGAGGAAGGUAGAAUUCCCGGUGUAGCGGUGAAAUGCGUAGAGAUCGGGAGGAAUACCAGUGGCGAAGGCGGCCUUCUGGACUGACACCGACACUGAGGUGCGAAAGCGUGGGUAGCAAACAGGAUUAGAUACCCUAGUAGUC
Molecule: ribosomal RNA, 465 nt
Filed under: Vreelandella stevensii
Lineage: Bacteria; Pseudomonadati; Pseudomonadota; Gammaproteobacteria; Oceanospirillales; Halomonadaceae
Description: partial 16S ribosomal RNA
Rfam family: Bacterial small subunit ribosomal RNA
Source: RNAcentral